AAAUUGAAGAGUUUGAUCAUGGCUCAGAUUGAACGCUGGCGGCAGGCCUAACACAUGCAAGUCGAACGGUAACAGGAAGCAGCUUGCUGCUUCGCUGACGAGUGGCGGACGGGUGAGUAAUGUCUGGGAAACUGCCUGAUGGAGGGGGAUAACUACUGGAAACGGUGGCUAAUACCGCAUAACGUCGCAAGACCAAAGAGGGGGACCUUCGGGCCUCUUGCCAUCAGAUGUGCCCAGAUGGGAUUAGCUAGUUGGUGAGGUAAUGGCUCACCAAGGCGACGAUCCCUAGCUGGUCUGAGAGGAUGACCAGCCACACUGGAACUGAGACACGGUCCAGACUCCUACGGGAUGCAGCAGUGGGGAAUAUUGCACAAUGGGCGCAAGCCUGAUGCAGCCAUGCCGCGUGUAUGAAGAAGGCCUUCGGGUUGUAAAGUACUUUCAGCGGGGAGGAAGGUGUUGUGGUUAAUAACC
RNAcentral lists this ribosomal RNA (471 nucleotides) under Salmonella enterica. RNAcentral describes it as "bacterial SSU rRNA". It matches the Rfam family "Bacterial small subunit ribosomal RNA", at positions 1 to 468 of the family's 1533-position model. The record is from RNAcentral. Lineage: Bacteria; Pseudomonadati; Pseudomonadota; Gammaproteobacteria; Enterobacterales; Enterobacteriaceae.